UUUGGUAUACCGGAGUUCGUAC
This 22-nucleotide non-coding RNA is filed under the name Arabidopsis thaliana (thale cress). The record is from RNAcentral. Lineage: Eukaryota; Viridiplantae; Streptophyta; Magnoliopsida; Brassicales; Brassicaceae.